Molecule: long non-coding RNA, 3139 nt
Filed under: Xyrichtys novacula (pearly razorfish)
Lineage: Eukaryota; Metazoa; Chordata; Actinopteri; Labriformes; Labridae
Source: RNAcentral
GCUUUGAGAUUUAACACUACUGGCUUUUAUCCAUUUCUGUCAGUCUCAAUCUCUUAGCAAUCAGUGACAUCUUUGUAUUGUCCCUUUGAUGUUUAAACCAGAAUAAAGGUUGCAACCCAUCCUCUAGUUACAAAAAAGUCCUCAAAGUUCACAUUCAUGAGGUGUUCACAGAGGCAGCGGCUCUAAAAAGUUAGUGAAGUGUCCUGAACAUGUGCAAAUAGAGUCCCAGCUCAUUUACUUUAAGUUAUGUUGGAACAUGUCUCCUGAAUACCAGGGCCAUCUCCUGAUGGUACGCAGAUUAAAACAGAUCCUCACUGUUUUGUCCUGACGUGCUUUCAGGAAUAUUACUGCUCAAAUGAGGCCACAGAAGACCUGACCUCGUUAAUUCUCGGUGAGCCAGCAGGAAAUCCAGCUAGGAUGACUUUUCUGACUUCCUCUGUGUUUCCCUGGAGAUCCCAGCUCAUACAAGCAGAAAGAGAACAGUAAUUUAGAUGAAAUUAAGUUUGUUUUGAAAUAAUGAUUCCAAGGAAAGGCUAGACAAGGGUGGAGCUACACAUUACUUCAUAAACUUUAAAGCUUUUAUGAGGAGGUUUUUUUCUUUUUAAUUUUUGGACAUUUUCCAAAUACACUGAAAUUCAUAUUGGUGACCUUACAUGACAAACAAGACAAUCAGAAACAACACAAACUGAAAGAUCACAUGAGCUUUAAAGGGGACCUGCCAUCAAAAUUUCAUACCCAUUUUUAUCAUUUUUUCAUAAUCCUUGAUGUCAUCUGAUCAUGUUUGCAACAUAAUUUUAGCUGAAAAGUUAUUUGAUGGUUUGUUUUAGUAUGCCUAAAAAACCUUACAGGAAAACCAACUGGUUUUGGCUCAUUAACAUUUAUGGUAAUGAGCUUUGCUCUGAUUGGAUCGCUGCUGUGAAGCCUGCUGUGCUCUGAUUGGCUCAGCAGUGGAGGUUCGGAUUUCAGUUUAUCCAUUUUGCUAAUGUGUGCUAAAGUAAGGUGCCCAGAUGUCUGUAAUGAUAUCUGGGGAUAUUCGGUGCAGCGGCGGCUGCGGGGAGGGUGCAGGGGCUGUGUGAUCACAGACAAAAUCUCGGUACUGUUUAGUAGCAGCGCAUGCCCCUUGUAAUAACCCCCUUAAAAACUGUUGAUCAGGACUGCUUACCUGUGCUUCCUACCUAUUCGGCUACUGUAAUAACCGUUGUUCGAACCCACACGCAACAUUUUUGCUCUCGUUCAUGAAACGCUUAAAUCGGGGACAUUUUCGGGGACAGCUUUAGCCGGGGACAGGUCAUCCAAUACGGGGACUGUCCCCGGAAAUCGGGGACGUCUGGUCAUCUUAUACUAAAGGCUAAAAAUGGCAGGUAUUAAACCGGUAUGGCAGGUAUUAUAUUUUAGACCCCGAGUCCGAAGAGGAGGUGGAAGUUGAAGAAGCCAGAGAUCUCCAGUGGUGUUUUCUCAUUCAUUCUGCCCAGCUUUAAGUUCAUUUUCCCGGCAGUGAACCCAAGGAAACACCGGUCGUUUGGAAGAGACCCAUAGCGGAUACAGUGGUAGCUGGGUCUCGCGCUGGCUAGUAUGGAGAGUGAUGUUGACUGGGAAUGAGUACGAGAAAGAGAGAGUGGGCGCGGCUCACCGAGGACGUGCUCGUGAAUAAUAAUGAGCAAGGUCAGCGCAACGUCAGAGGGACCUGCUUUUUCAAUUGGCCUGGUUUACCCGUUCCUUUAUUUUAAACCUUUACAGAAUGCAAACGACGUAACGGUUUGUUUUCACAUUUACAACAUAAGACGAACAUAAUAUGGACCUUAUCUGACACAAAAUACUCACACAAAAUUACAUUUUGAUGGCAGGUCCCCUUUAAUUAGUGCAUUUUUCUCAUAUGGGGCAGCAGUAGCUAAGGAGGUAGAGCGGUCAUCCAACAACUGGAAGGUUGGCGGUUCAAUUCCACUGUAUCCCGAGUCUGUCUGUUGUGUUCAUGGGGAAGACACUUAAACCCACCUUGCUCCCAGUGUGUUUCCUCCACUGGUGUAUGAUUGUGUGUUGAGUGUUGUGUGGUGGUGGUCGGAGAGGCUGUAGGUGCAAACUGGCAGCCAUAUUUCUGUCAGUCUGCCCCAGGGCAGCUGUGACUGCUAAGGUAGUUUACCACCACUGUGGUCUCUGAUAAAGUGCUCUGAUGCAUUCUUAUUAUUAUUAAAUAUCAUCACCCAUUUCUAAAACAUUUUAAUUUAUCAUCAACCAUGAGACCGACACUUCUUAGAUAAGACUUUUCCUUAUAGAACUAUUAUCAUGCUUUUAUUAUGAUAUUUUUCUUGCUUUUAGGUUGCUAUACGUCCCACAUUGCCAAACUAUGCUUUCAUUUCUGAGUGCACAACUGCAUGUAAAUCCCAAAAGACUAAAAUAAAUAAAUAAAACAGUUAAAUAACUUUUAAAAAGUAUAAAUGUUCCAUGUCCUGGAGAGACAUGUGCUCUAAUGUUGUUUUUGGAUUAAUGGUAAAUCUUGAACAUCUCUCAGGGGGAUAUUUCAGCUAGCUUGCCAGCAGCUGUUGCUUCUUGUAUGUCUCUUCUCCUUUUUAUGACAUGUGGCAGCCAGCAUACAAAGCCACUAAGAUGAAAUUCAAAAACGGGUGAAAAAGGCUGGUUAUGUGGUAGGAUUCAAGCUGGACUCGCUGGAGGAUGGGGUGGAGAGAUCUACACUGAGGAAGGUGGAGACUAUUCUACAGAACAUGGAUCACCCACUCCACAACACCUUGAUGGACCAAAGGGCCAAUGGUGGUGGACGGCUCCACUCUCUUCACUGCAGGACAGAAAGGUUCAAAAGAUCUUUUGUACCAACAGCCAUCAGACUUUAUAACUCUUAUGUAAAUGGUAGCUCAACCAGGACAAAACAGAGGUUUUAAUAAUUGGUUCAAAGGCUCAGAGAGAGAAACUGACCCCCAAACUCCACAAAAUAGGACUUAACCCCAGCCAAGAAGCAUGAAAUCUCGGGGUGGUCUUUGAUUUUAAUUUUAAAACUCGUGCUAGGGGUGUCACUAAAACAGCCUUUUACCAUCUUAAAAACAUAGCAAAAGUACGACCGUUUCUUUCUCUGAGCCAGACAGAGAGACUAAUGCACGCUUUUAUAACCAGCAGGCUUGACUACUGUAAC